UACAGAGGGGGCUAGCGUUGUUCGGAAUUACUGGGCGUAAAGGGCGCGUAGGUGGCCUGUUAAGUCGAACGUGAAAUCCCCGGGCUCAACCCGGGAACUGCGUCCGAGACUGGCAGGCUCGAAUCCGGGAGAGGGAUGUGGAAUUCCAGGCGUAGCGGUGAAAUGCGUAGAUAUCUGGAGGAACACCGGUGGCGAAGGCGGCAUCCUGGACCGGUAUUGACGCUGAGGCGCGAAAGCCAGGGGAGCAAACGGG
RNAcentral lists this ribosomal RNA (253 nucleotides) under uncultured bacterium. RNAcentral describes it as "partial 16S ribosomal RNA". It matches the Rfam family "Bacterial small subunit ribosomal RNA", at positions 524 to 776 of the family's 1533-position model. The record is from RNAcentral.